This 268-nucleotide ribosomal RNA is filed under the name uncultured bacterium. Its description in RNAcentral is "partial 16S ribosomal RNA". It matches the Rfam family "Bacterial small subunit ribosomal RNA", at positions 28 to 292 of the family's 1533-position model. The record is from RNAcentral.
GACGAACGCUGGCGGCGUGCUUAACACAUGCAAGUCGAGCGGUAAGGCCCUUUCGGGGUACGACGAGCGGCGAACGGGUAGAGUAACACGUGGGUGACCUCGCCCUCCAGCUCUGGGAGUAAGCCUGGGAAACGUGGGUCUAAUACUGGAUAUGACUCCACGGUGCAUGUCGUGGGGUGGAAAGCCUUGUGCGGCUGAGGAUGGGCCCGCGGCCUAUCAGCUUGUUGGUGGGGUGAUGGCCUACCAAGGCGACGACGGGUAGCCGGCC